GGCUCAGUGGUCUAGGGGUAUGAUUCUCGCUUUGGGUGCUAGAGGUCCCGGGUUCAAUUCCCGACUGAGCCC
RNAcentral lists this transfer RNA (72 nucleotides) under Echinococcus granulosus. RNAcentral's name for it is "transfer RNA-Pro". It matches the Rfam family "tRNA". Rfam says of the family: Transfer RNA (tRNA) molecules are approximately 80 nucleotides in length. Their secondary structure includes four short double-helical elements and three loops (D, anti-codon, and T loops). Further hydrogen bonds mediate the characteristic L-shaped molecular structure. tRNAs have two regions of fundamental functional importance: the anti-codon, which is responsible for specific mRNA codon recognition, and the 3' end, to which the tRNAs corresponding amino acid is attached (by aminoacyl-tRNA synthetases). tRNAs cope with the degeneracy of the genetic code in two manners: having more than one tRNA (with a specific anti-codon) for a particular amino acid; and 'wobble' base-pairing, i.e. permitting non-standard base-pairing at the 3rd anti-codon position. The record is from RNAcentral. Lineage: Eukaryota; Metazoa; Platyhelminthes; Cestoda; Cyclophyllidea; Taeniidae.